GUAGGUGGGCAAGCGUUGUCCGGAAUUAUUGGGCGUAAAGCGCGCGCAGGGCGGUCCUUUAAGUCUGAUGUGAAAGCCCACGGCUCAACCGUGGAGGGUCAUUGGAAACUGGGGGACUUGAGUACAGAAGAGGAAAGCGGAAUUCCAAGUGUAGCGGUGAAAUGCGUAGAGAUUUGGAGGAACACCAGUGGCGAAGGCGGCUUCCUGGUCUGUAACUGACGCUGAGGCGCGAAAGCGUGGGGAGCAAACAGGAUUAGAUACCCUGGUAGUCCACGCCGUAAACGAUGAGUGCUAAGUGUUAGGGGGUUUCCGCCCCUUAGUGCUGCAGCUAACGCAUUAAGCACUCCGCCUGGGGAGUACGGCCGCAAGGCUG
RNAcentral lists this ribosomal RNA (373 nucleotides) under uncultured organism. Its description in RNAcentral is "partial 16S ribosomal RNA". It matches the Rfam family "Bacterial small subunit ribosomal RNA", at positions 526 to 896 of the family's 1533-position model. The record is from RNAcentral.